GAUGAACGCUGGCGGCGUGCCUAAUACAUGCAAGUCGAGCGAACGGACGAGAAGCUUGCUUCUCUGAUGUUAGCGGCGGACGGGUGAGUAACACGUGGAUAACCUACCUAUAAGACUGGGAUAACUUCGGGAAACCGGAGCUAAUACCGGAUAAUAUUUUGAACCGCAUGGUUCAAAAGUGAAAGACGGUCUUGCUGCCACUUAUAGAUGGAUCCGCGCUGCAUUAGCUAGUUGGUAAGGUAACGGCUUACCAAGGCAACGAUGCAUAGCCGACCUGCGAGGGUGAUCGGCCACACUGGAACUGAGACACGGUCCAGACUCCGACGGGAGGCAGCAGUAGGGAAUCUUCCGCAAUGGGCGAAAGCCUGACGGAGCAACGCCGCGUGAGUGAUGAAGGUCUUCGGAUCGUAAAACUCUGUUAUUAGGGAAGAACAUAUGUGUAAGUAACUGUGCACAUCUUGACGGUACCGAAUCAGAAAGCCACGGCUAACUACGU
Molecule: ribosomal RNA, 496 nt
Filed under: uncultured bacterium
Lineage: Bacteria
Description: partial 16S ribosomal RNA
Rfam family: Bacterial small subunit ribosomal RNA
Source: RNAcentral